GUUUUUGAGGUGAAUACUGACACCUUUGUGCUUUAUAAAGAAUAUUUCCAUAAAAAAUUGGAUGUGCAAUACCUGAACGUAUAAGAAGUCUGCAUGUUGAGCUAUAUUUAUAAUGAUGUCCUUAUACCGAUGAUAAAAUUUAGUAAAUGUUUUGAAUACAUGACCAUGUUAAAAUUUAUGAUUAGGUUAGUUCAAGUGAACUACUUAUAAUAUGGUAAUGAUAUUUUGUUUGAAGAAGUCAUACUGGCAUUACCAAAUCUAAUAUCUCUAAAACUAUUUGGCCCUGUUUCUUCAUUUAAGGUUAGUUUGCAUAAUUUACAUGUCAAGGUAUUUAUAUUAUAUUUCAACAUUUGCAUUUUAUUAUCAAAUAAUAAGCAGAUGAAACAUAUCUCUGUGUCACUAGUUUAUCAGAAGUAUACAUUUUUGUUCCCAGAGCAAUCAUGUUGUGUAGACAUAGAGAUACCUGGUAUCCAUGUGUCUGUCUGUCCCUCUGCCCAUCUGUCAGUUCGUCUGGUAUUGUUAUGCUCUCACAUGAAAUACUCUUUGAAACUUAUAUCAUGGGUUUAUCAGCAAGACAAGUUAGAAAUCAGUACUGAUUUUUUUUUUAAAGUUAUGUCCCAUGAAAAUAUCAACUGGUUCAACUGACAUCAACCUCAUUCAUGUCAUUUAUAGGGUUCAUGGGUCAAUGAAAAGUUUUCAUAGAUAAAAUAUAUCUCAUAUUUUAUAAGUAGUAGUCUCAGUUUUAUUGUAUGGUUUGACAUUCAACCAUGAUAGUUAAUGCAGGCGAGAUAUAUCAGUGUGUGCACUCUUAUUAGAUACAUGCAAACCAAAAGCAUUUGUUAUUUUUGUUACAGAUCUUCAGUUUAAUAUGAUUCUUGAAACAAAAGUGUAAACUGUUUUUUUAUGCCCCACCUACGAUAGUAGAGGGGCAUUAUGUUUUCUGGUCUGUGCGUCUGUUCGUCCGUCCGUCCAUUUGUUCGUCCGUCCGUCCCGCUUCAGGUUAAAGUUUUUGGUCAAGGUAGAUUUUGAUGAAGUUGAAGUCCAAUCAACUUUAAACUUAGUACACAUAAUCCCCAUGAUAUUAUCUCUCUGAUUUUAAUGCCAAAUUAAAGUUUUGACCCCAAUUUUACAGUCCACUGAACAUAGAAAAUUAUAGUGCGAAGUUCAGGUUAAAGUUUUUGGUCAAGGUAGUUUUUGAUGAGGUUGAAGUCCAAUCAACUUCAAACUUAGUACUCAUGUCCCCUUUGAUAUGAUCUUUCUGAUUUAAAUGCCAAAUUAUAGUUUUGUUCCAAGUUCACAGUCCACUGAACAUGGCAAAUGAUAGUGCGAGGGGGCAUUCGUGUACUAUGGACACAUUCUUGUUCAAUUUAUUAAAGGAGAAGUUACAUUUUAUUUAUGUUAUAUUUUGUAAUAAAUUUUAGGAGAAGGGAGUUAAAUUUUAUAUUGAAU
This 1449-nucleotide long non-coding RNA is filed under the name Mytilus galloprovincialis (Mediterranean mussel). Lineage: Eukaryota; Metazoa; Mollusca; Bivalvia; Mytilida; Mytilidae. The record is from RNAcentral.